UGGUGCGAUCAUAACAGUACUAAUGCACUAGAUCCUUUCCGAACUCUGCAGUUAAUCGUGCUUGGGCGAGAGUAGUACUAGGAUGGGUGACCUCGUGGAAAGUCCUCCUAUUGCACCUC
This is a ribosomal RNA of Lupinus angustifolius (narrow-leaved blue lupine), 119 nucleotides long. NCBI's taxonomy places the organism in Eukaryota, Viridiplantae, Streptophyta, Magnoliopsida, Fabales, Fabaceae. The record is from Rfam.